GAUGAACGCUGGCGGCGUGCCUAAUACAUGCAAGUCGAGCGAACAGACGAGGAGCUUGCUCCUCUGACGUUAGCGGCGGACGGGUGAGUAACACGUGGAUACCCUACCUAUAAGACUGGGAUAACUUCGGGAACCCGGAGCUCAUACCGGAUAAUAUAUUGAACCGCAUGGUUCAAUAGUGAAAGACGGUUUUGCUGUCACUUAUAGAUGGAUCCGCGCCGCAUUAGCUAGUUGGUAAGGUAACGGCUUACCAAGGCAACGAUGCGUAGCCGACCUGAGAGGGUGAUCGGCCACACUGGAACUGAGACACGGUCCAGACUCCUACGGGAGGCAGCAGUAGGGAAUCUUCCGCAAUGGGCGAAAGCCUGACGGAGCAACGCCGCGUGAGUGAUGAAGGUCUUCGGAUCGUAAAACUCUGUUAUUAGGGAAGAACAAAUGUGUAAGUAACUAUGCACGUCUUGACGGUACCUAAUCAGAAAGCCACGGCUAACUACGUG
This 497-nucleotide ribosomal RNA is filed under the name uncultured bacterium. RNAcentral describes it as "partial 16S ribosomal RNA". It matches the Rfam family "Bacterial small subunit ribosomal RNA", at positions 28 to 507 of the family's 1533-position model. The record is from RNAcentral.